CAAAAUCUACAUAACAUCUAGCGAUUUGCACAGGAAAUUUGUGAAAGAGAAACUGACAGGCCCUGCAAAUCACAAUUGGUAACCACCGGAAACACAAACGUACAGUAAGCAAAUACAGAAUGAGCACUCCCGCAAAAUAGGGAUGUAUGAAUCGUCGACAUACCGCGGGAAAGCGGGUGUCCAGCUUCUUCCUCAUGGCGUCGAGCAGGCGCCGGAGAAACCCUCCCCGGCGGAGAACAAGGGGGGUCGAAGUUGUAUCGACGCGGGGAGCGAAGCGCAGGACAUCGAAUCGGAGACGAAAACCGUAAAGAGAUUAAAUAGCGACAUCGGAUAGAUUUGUGAUUUGGGGAUUAGGGUUUCCGUUAUCCGUUUUCUUUUUCACUUUUACAAAAAAAGCAAUAAAAAAUAUUUUCCCCAUAAACAGCGCGGCCAAUGACCGGGCAAAUCGGCCAGCUCUCCCGGCCCAUGGACACCCGACGCGUGGACGCGGUGUAUAGACCUUGAAGUCACGUGAACAGAGGAUCUCUUCGGAGGGUCUACGGACUACGGAGCGGAGGUACGCGGACCGGGUCCACGGAGCCUUUCGCGGUGGGUAAACCUCAGCCACAGCGGGAUGUGGGGGCCCACGCGCGUAGACCUCCCGUGUUGCGCGCGCCGCUACACGUCAGCCGUCCGUCCCAAUCCCCGGAUGUGGUGGGCCCAACGUUUCUGGCUGGUUCGUGGAGAUGCCUGUUUGGGCCGUCCGAUGCAGGGGGUCGGCGGGAUCCGACGGCUGCAGCCCGGUGACUGAUUGGUGGCCUUCACUGGGUGCCGUAUUUGGCUCUCGCUUUUUGGCUGUUUAGGUGGAACCACCGAAGUGGAGAGAGUUCCGUUUCCAAGUUUUACCUCGUGGGAUAAGAUUAGGUACUGUAUUUUUUAUUUAAAGAAAAAUUAGCAAAAGUGAUUUUAUAAGAUUUUGAAGGAUUCUAAUAUUAAGAAAGAAAAAUCUGCAACGGCGGAACAAUUGCAUUUUGAGACGGAUGGUCCCUUCUCCGCUUGCGACCUGCUGUCCUGGUCCGAGUGAAAUCCCUACGACCUCCUUGUGUCGUGCUCUCAGUUUUGUAUUGUGCCUGCUAAGAGUGAUCAAAAUUGCAGCUCUUCAAGUUGAAUUGUUUGAGAAGAUAAUGCAGUAAAAGGGUAAAUUUCCACGAGGAUCCCAGGCAAACCUUACAUUCCCAAACCUCCUGGACAGGGCCUAAAAUGUGCAUACAGUGUCAAAUUUCCGUUUAGAACGAGAUUUAAGCCAACAUUUACAUGGACAGUAUUGGUACAAAAAACAUCGUG
Long non-coding RNA from Brachypodium distachyon (stiff brome), 1323 nucleotides. RefSeq lists it as uncharacterized. The transcript has 2 exons. The record is from RefSeq and is a predicted model, not a curated record. Lineage: Eukaryota; Viridiplantae; Streptophyta; Magnoliopsida; Poales; Poaceae.